UUAUAAUAUAAAUACUCCUAAAUAAACACUUACUUUUUUGUUUAUUUAUUUAAUAUGAUUUAAAUUCAAAUUAUAAAUAGUAAGAAAAUAAUCUUCAAGAAAGGAGCGUGACAUUUGGUAUGUUGUCACGUUUUCUUUUUAAUUUUAUUCUUUUGAUUUAUAUGGUGAAAUUAAAUAAAUAAUAAUAAAUAUUAUUAUUCAUAAAGUGUGGUUUGAUAACGUGUUUAUAUAGAGGUGAAAGAUGAAGGUGGUCAUAUAAUUCAUUUAUUAUAACAUUUUCAGAAUUGACUCCGCACUGCUCUAAAUAAAAUAAAAUUUGGAUUCACCAAUCAGAGGAUUGUCAAAGAUUUCAAGUUGAAAGGGAAAUAGUUAGCCAAUUUUUUGUCUGCUCACAAAUAAAAGGCCAUUCUUUAUUU
Molecule: long non-coding RNA, 416 nt
Filed under: Olea europaea (common olive)
Lineage: Eukaryota; Viridiplantae; Streptophyta; Magnoliopsida; Lamiales; Oleaceae
Description: long non-coding RNA (OEUR_LNC003784)
Source: RNAcentral